Molecule: long non-coding RNA, 1402 nt
Organism: Pipra filicauda (Wire-tailed manakin)
Lineage: Eukaryota; Metazoa; Chordata; Aves; Passeriformes; Pipridae
Exons: 3
Source: RefSeq, a predicted model, not a curated record
CCAUUUCAAUGCUGCAAGCAUCCUCCGUGACCUUCCCUCUCCCUUCCCAGCACACGCUGACACAUCCAGCCUAAAUUUGCGUCUCGCAUCACCUCAGGAUACUCAUGGCUAAUUUCAUUAUUUUGGAGAGAAAAUGCAAAUGAAGCCAGACAGCUGGUGCUUUCCUCGUGGCGAGGAGUGAUGGAGGGGCCCGAGGCCUACCUCAUCAGAGGCUCUCAUACCCGUCUGCUCAGACAGGCCCUGGCGGGAGGAGAGUGGGGAGGCUGCAGGAGCAGCGGGAACAGAUGGCAGGGAAGAGUCCUUCCCCACUCAGGCUGCAAGUUUCCAAGCUCCUUCCCAAAACAAGUUGAUCUGACGAUCUAUCCACAGAAACUCAAUCAAAUGUGAUUGAGUUAUAAACCAGCAAGUUCAACACACAGAAUUGAAGAGUGAAAAAUUACUCACAGUUUGAACUGGGAAAAGUGUUGAAGAGGAACUUGUCAUAGGAUGAUCUGAAUUCAAAAGAAAUACUUGUUCGUGGAGUGCCAGGACAGACUACCAGCUUGUCUUCAAAAUAUAGCCUGGAUUGGUUUUUGAAUAAGAUAUGAUCCUCUUUAUUAUCUGAUAUGUUUUUAUCAAGUUGCUCUCAGUUUAUUUGUAGGAAAAUGUAUACGUUGCACUUUUUUUUUCCAUUGCAGUUUCUCUGUAUGUUCUUCAUCCACAAGCAUAAUUACUUGAAAGUCAUCAGAAAAGUUGUGUAUAUAUAUAUAUGUAAAACACCCCAAGGGCACCAGAAGAAAAGAAAAAAAUUGAGUUUAGAGUAAUUGGUAAGAUGCAUUUGCAGAUAAGAGAAGAAGGUGUAACAGCCUACCUACAGGCUUUGCUUUUCUCAGGGAGCUUUGAGUCUACUUGGACAGUGCACCAGACCAAACACAUGAGAAUUUGAGAGAGCUGACAACUCACAUUGUUUAGAGAAAGCACUAUGAGCAUUUUUGUAACAGAUUUUUGACUCGAUAUUUUUAGGGUGCAAAGGGCAAAUAUUUGAUCAGAUCAUGGUCUUCUGACCCUCUUAAUGGGUAUAGAGUAAUUAGAACUAAUUAUUUGGUAACUGUCAGAUUUUUGUCCACUGUAGCAUGAAGUCCUGUUAUGAUGAACAUGUGAUAACUGACAAAAAAUAAUCAUCUGCUAUCAAGCCUGAGGUUCCGCAGCUGCAAAAAAGAGCAGUCUCGUGAAAUGAGCAGUCCCAUAAAAUGUCAGUGAUGCUACUCACUGGAGAAAGAUUGCAGCGUCACAACCUUACACAGCCAUCUAAAGCAAUAAUGUGAUGCUAUAACAAAACAAAGUAGACAGUAUAGAUGGGAAUGACAACCCCAGUAUAAAUCCAAACCCUGACUUCCAAGCAUAAAACUGACUUUCUCAUUGA